UAAUAUUCUGGUCAGCACAUUCGAUAAACUACAGUUGUACAUGGAACUCAUUAAAUCACUUCUUUUUCUUUCAGUGGUCUUCAACUUUUAAUCUCUAAGAAGGAAAUGUAAUUAAAAGAUGAAUAAAGUAUCCAUAAGAAUACCAGAAGAAAGGCUGUGUUGAGAAAAACAGCCCUUCCUCAGUACCUCAGAACUAGAUGAUAGUCCUUGUUACUUUAUGCUGAAUAUGACACAGUAUAGAAGAUCUGAUCAUGAAGAAGUUACACCAUUGAUACACUUGCCAACUGCCAAAACUACUUUCUGAUAGUAUGACAAGAUUAGAAGAUAUCAUGGUGUAGUCAUGACACAAACUGCAAAUCAAAGAUUGUCUUCCCCAGAGGAUGAACAGAGUGCUUCACAUGGAUAACAUUUCCUUUUCGAGUUUUGAAAUUAAGCAUGGCACCAGGAUAGCUAGAUGCCCAUAUUCCCAGCAAAAUGAGCCAGUCCUAAAGAGAGUCCACUAGAGAUGAAAUAAAACGCAUUAAAAUGUAUUGAGAAAAGAUUUGUCAGAAUGUUAUGCAUCAUGAUCAACAGAAAAGAACUUCACAGGUAGACCAAAGCUGACAUGGGAUGAGAUCCUAAAACGAAACCUAGAGUUUAGAGGAUUGGAUAGGAUCAAUCCACUGGGUCGCCAAGUGUAGAAGUACAAACUUCAACCUCGACAGGACAGCCAGGCCUCACCCUUGCAAAACUAUUAAUUUGGCCUGGAUAGUCAAAAUGAGUGAUGAUGAUGAUAUCAAGGUCUGACACUGUAAGCUCAGUAAGGGUAGAUGCUGGCAAUGGAGCUGUUAAGCAAUACAACAAACAGGUUUAACAUUGAACAUGUUUAUAUACUUUUUAGCUCACCUGAGCCAAAGGCUCAAAUGAGCUUUUCUGAUCACCUUUGCCUGUCGUCUGUCUCUCUGUAAACUUUUCACAUUUUCAUUUUCUUCUCCAGAGUGAACCACUGGGCCAGUUUCAAUCAAACUUGGUAUGCAUCAUCAAUAUAUAAGGGGUAUGCAAAAAUUGGGUGGGGUCAUUUAAAAAACCUUUUCAAGAACCACUGGACCAGGAAAGUUGAAUUCACAUAAAAGGUUCCUGUUUUGUGCAAAUCAUGGUAUCCGGGGGUAGGGUGAGGUCACAAUCGAGGAUCAAAGUUUUACAUUCAUAUAUAGUACAGAUUCAAGUUUGUUAAAGGUCAUGGCUCACAGGGGUAGAGUGGGGUCACAAUAGGGGAUCUAAGUUUUAUAUGUGAAAUAUAUACAAGGAAAAUCUUUUAAAAUCUUCUCCUAAAAAACUAGAUGCAGAACUAAACCCAAAAUUGUAGCUCUUUGAGAAGAUAUUGGGGCAAGUCAGAGUGCUAGAGCUUCAAAUGAGCCCCUUAUUAAAAAUCUUCAAUUUACGGCACAUAAAAAAAGUGCAUGGUUAAGUCCCUCUAUCACUGCAUUCCUGCAUCGCUGUCUCAUGAAUUUAAUAUUAAAUAAUUCCUAACAUAUUUUCCCACUAUACUUGUUUCCAAGCAUACUUUCAAAUAUUCCUUAAACCCACAUAUACCCUAAAAACUCACAGCUUCAAGUGAUUUUCUUUGUUGAUGUAGCCAUGUUAGGUAUACGUAGCCAGUCAAUUUGAACCCCAGUUCAUUUCCAUACUCGUACUCAUUUUGAAACAUAAUGUCUGUGUGAACUAAUAUCCCCACAAAUAUUUUUAGUGAAAUAUUUUGGAUGAAAUCAUCCUAGUUGGGUUAAAUACUUAUUAUUCAAAAAAAUGUAGGUUUGAAUAUUGAACUAAUCUCACAGCUUUCUUAAGUUUGGUCCCCAUCCACUCCAGUCUGUUUUUACGCUUAACUAUUGAAAUGGAGUGUAAGGGAUCAGACUAGGCUUUAAUAGCAUUAUCAAUUUUCAAAAGCUUUAGAAAAAUUAUACAAUUUUAGGUCACUUGAGUAAACUCAGAUGACAUAUUGCUAUUGGUCUGCGUCCGUUGUAGUCCGUCGAUGUUAACAAUUGAAUAUUUUUAACUAAAUUCUAUAACUGAAAGGUGAAGAUAACGAACAGCGAUCAAUCUACGAUUCGAAUAACAGAAUUCUUUUCAAAUUUAGUAUGAAGCACACAAAUUUACAUUAAACCUUCCUGACAUAGUGCAUAUUCAAGUUUGUUAAAAUCAUUUCCCGGGAGGUAUGGUGUGGUAACAAUAGGGAAUCAAAGUUUUAUAUACUGAUACAUGUAUAUUUAAAGGAAAAAUCUUUAAAGAUAUCUCUUGAACUAUUUAAGCUAGAGCUUUCAUAUCUUGUAUAUACAAUUUUUAUGGCAAAACAAAUCUGACCUAUUCAGUGUGUCCUGAACUACAUUGUGUUUAAGGUAAAACUUAUAUGGUACCAAUUUUGAUGCACCAGAUGCGCAUUUCGACAAAUAAUGUCUCUUCAUUGGUUGGUGUGGGUUCGAAUCCUGCUUGCACCGGUAAGUGAGAAAGUUUCCCAGUUUACUCUCGGAAGGUCAGUGGUCUCUUCCCAGGUACAUUGUAUCUGGGUUCUCUCUUCCACCAAUAAAAACUGGGCACCACCAGAUAACUGAAAAAUUGUUGAGUGUGGCGGAAAACAGCUAAAACAAUCAAUCAUAUUAUGUUCUUUGACCUUGUGACCCUGAACUCUGAGUUUGACCUACUUUUAAGAAAGUAUAACUUAUUAAGUAUAUCCAGGACUAUUUUAGAUAGGGCUUUCAUGUAUUGUAUAUAGAUUACUUAUGGCAAAGUCUUUCAUAUCAUACCAAGACCUAUGACUUCAUACCUUGGUCUUAUCCAGAACAGCAAUAUCAUGCUUGUCAUAUCUUUGUGUUAUAUGAUUUCAUUUUAGUAAUGUUGUGUUCUUUAGAGGUAGGUUUGGGUCAUAUUAUUCAUGAGAAUAAAGAUUAAUAAAAUAGCAUUUAAAAAUCAAAACAGCAGGGCCAAGGUGACUCAGGUGAGCGAUGUGGCCCCUGGGCCUCUUGUUGAUUUUGAUAUUUGUACAGAUAUCAUUUGUAUGAGAAAUGGAACUUUUUUUUUCUUUUACAAAUACAUGUAUUAUCAUAUGGAUCCAUCUGUGUUGAUUAUUUAAUCAAAGGACUACAUUCAAUGUAUUAAAUGCAAAUUUAUUGAUAUGUCUGUGGUUGAAUUACUCAUGUAUGUAUACAUUUUUUUGACACAUGCAAUUACAUAUAUAAUGUAUAUAUAUAUAUAUAUAUACUAAUUGUACAUAUAACAUCUCCUGUAAUAUAAUAAAAUAUAUGACUGAGAAUAAAA
Ostrea edulis (European flat oyster) is the source of this 3288-nucleotide long non-coding RNA. RefSeq lists it as uncharacterized. The transcript is spliced from 3 exons. Lineage: Eukaryota; Metazoa; Mollusca; Bivalvia; Ostreida; Ostreidae. The record is from RefSeq and is a predicted model, not a curated record.